RNAcentral lists this ribosomal RNA (277 nucleotides) under uncultured bacterium. RNAcentral's name for it is "partial 16S ribosomal RNA". It matches the Rfam family "Bacterial small subunit ribosomal RNA", at positions 29 to 292 of the family's 1533-position model. The record is from RNAcentral.
AGCGAACGCUGGCGGCGUGCCUAACACAUGCAAGUCGAACGUGAACGGGGGCAACUCCUAGUAAAGUGGCGUACGGGUGAGUAACGCGUAGGUAAUCUACCGGAGAGUCUGGAAUAACCGGCCGAAAGGCUGGCUAAUACUGGAUAGGGCGAAGAAAUCCGUAAAAGGAUUUUUCGGGAAAGGGAGGUCGUAAGGCCCUUUGCUCUCUGAUGAGCCUGCGUCUGAUUAGCUAGUUGGUGAGGUCAAGGCUCACCAAGGCGAUGAUCGGUAGCUGGUC